RNAcentral lists this ribosomal RNA (216 nucleotides) under Campeiostachys nutans. Its description in RNAcentral is "Elymus nutans partial small subunit ribosomal RNA". It matches the Rfam family "Eukaryotic small subunit ribosomal RNA", at positions 653 to 864 of the family's 1831-position model. Lineage: Eukaryota; Viridiplantae; Streptophyta; Magnoliopsida; Poales; Poaceae. The record is from RNAcentral.
GGGUUAGUAGGUUGGUCAUGCCUCUGGUAUGUACUGAUCUCACUGAUUCCUCCUUCCUAAAGAACCAUAAUGUCAUUUAUUUGAUGUUAUGGGGAAUUAGGACUGUUACCUUGAAAAAAUUAGAGUGUUUAAAGCAAGCUAACGCUUGAAUACAUUAGCAUGGAAUAAUGAAAUAGGACGUUCGAUCCUAUUUUGUUGGUUUCUAGGAUUGACGUA